This 1140-nucleotide ribosomal RNA is filed under the name Arthrobacter sp. Its description in RNAcentral is "bacterial SSU rRNA". It matches the Rfam family "Bacterial small subunit ribosomal RNA", at positions 60 to 1211 of the family's 1533-position model. Lineage: Bacteria; Bacillati; Actinomycetota; Actinomycetes; Micrococcales; Micrococcaceae. The record is from RNAcentral.
AGUCGAACGAUGAACCUCACUUGUGGGGGGAUUAGUGGCGAACGGGUGAGUAACACGUGAGUAACCUGCCCUUAACUCUGGGAUAAGCCUGGGAAACUGGGUCUAAUACCGGAUAUGACUCCUCAUCGCAUGGUGGGGGGUGGAAAGCUUUAUUGUGGUUUUGGAUGGACUCGCGGCCUAUCAGCUUGUUGGUGAGGUAAUGGCUCACCAAGGCGACGACGGGUAGCCGGCCUGAGAGGGUGACCGGCCACACUGGGACUGAGACACGGCCCAGACUCCUACGGGAGGCAGCAGUGGGGAAUAUUGCACAAUGGGCGAAAGCCUGAUGCAGCGACGCCGCGUGAGGGAUGACGGCCUUCGGGUUGUAAACCUCUUUCAGUAGGGAAGAAGCGAAAGUGACGGUACCUGCAGAAGAAGCGCCGGCUAACUACGUGCCAGCAGCCGCGGUAAUACGUAGGGCGCAAGCGUUAUCCGGAAUUAUUGGGCGUAAAGAGCUCGUAGGCGGUUUGUCGCGUCUGCCGUGAAAGUCCGGGGCUCAACUCCGGAUCUGCGGUGGGUACGGGCAGACUAGAGUGAUGUAGGGGAGACUGGAAUUCCUGGUGUAGCGGUGAAAUGCGCAGAUAUCAGGAGGAACACCGAUGGCGAAGGCAGGUCUCUGGGCAUUAACUGACGCUGAGGAGCGAAAGCAUGGGGAGCGAACAGGAUUAGAUACCCUGGUAGUCCAUGCCGUAAACGUUGGGCACUAGGUGUGGGGGACAUUCCACGUUUUCCGCGCCGUAGCUAACGCAUUAAGUGCCCCGCCUGGGGAGUACGGCCGCAAGGCUAAAACUCAAAGGAAUUGACGGGGGCCCGCACAAGCGGCGGAGCAUGCGGAUUAAUUCGAUGCAACGCGAAGAACCUUACCAAGGCUUGACAUGAACCGGAAAUACCUGGAAACAGGUGCCCCGCUUGCGGUCGGUUUACAGGUGGUGCAUGGUUGUCGUCAGCUCGUGUCGUGAGAUGUUGGGUUAAGUCCCGCAACGAGCGCAACCCUCGUUCUAUGUUGCCAGCGCGUUAUGGCGGGGACUCAUAGGAGACUGCCGGGGUCAACUCCGAAGGAAGGUGGGGACGACGUCAAAUCAUCAUGCCCCUUAUGKCUUG